AAAAUAACAAUGAUUCCCCCAGUAACGGCGAGUGAACAGGGAAAAGCUCAAAGUUGGAAGCUCCUGGCCCUAGGCUAGGCGCAUUGUAAACUAAAGCUGUAAAGUAGUUCGGUUGGCCUGGUAAAAAAGUUCCCUGGAAUGGGGCGACAUGGAGGGUGAAAUCCCCGUCUUUGGCCAGAGUUCAGCCGUGCGUUUGCUUUGCUGCGAAGAGUCAGGUUGUUUGGGAAUGCAGCCUAAAAUGGGAGGUAGACUUCUCCUAAAGCUAAAUAUUGACGAAAGACCGAUAGCGAACAAGUACCGUGAGGGAAAGAUGAAAAGCACUUUGAAAAGAGGGUCAAAAAGUACGUGAAAUUGCUGAAAGGGAACCGUAUGAAAUCAGCCUGAUGUGUGGGUAAUCAGCCUGGGCUUUGGCCUGGGUGCACUUGCCCAUGUAUUAGCCUGCGACAGUUUGACCUGGGGGAAAAAAGAUGGGGGAAUGUGGCCUCGGCUUCGGUCGUGGUGUUAUAGCCCCUGUCAAAAUACCUUGGGUUGGACUGAGGACUGCAGCGAGCCGUAAGGCAUGGGUCUCGGGCGCUCUGUCUCGGCGAAAAGUGAAUCUCUGCUUCGGGUGGUGCGCUUUUCUUCAGGGCAGACUCGUCUGUUUCUUCUUUCUCUCGCUUAGGUCGUAGGCAUAAUGAUUUUAUAUGA
Molecule: ribosomal RNA, 687 nt
Filed under: Absidia glauca
Lineage: Eukaryota; Fungi; Mucoromycota; Mucoromycetes; Mucorales; Cunninghamellaceae
Description: partial large subunit ribosomal RNA
Rfam family: Eukaryotic large subunit ribosomal RNA
Source: RNAcentral